CCUACGGGAGGCAGCAGUGGGGAAUAUUGCACAAUGGGGGAAACCCUGAUGCAGCGACGCCGCGUGAGUGAAGAAGUAUUUCGGUAUGGAAAGCCCUAUCAGCAGGGAAGCAAAAGACGGUACGUGAUUAAGAAUCCACGGCUAACAACGAGCAAGCAGCCGCGGGAAUACGUAGGGGGCAAGCGUAAUCCGGAUUUACUGGGUGUAAAGGGAGCGUAGACGGCAGCACAAGUCUGGAGUGAAAUGCCGGGGCUUAACCACGGAACUGCUUUGGAAACUGUGCAGCUAGAGUGCGUGAGAGGUAAGUGGAAUUCCUGGUGUAGCGGUGAAAUGCGUAGAUAUUAGGAGGAACACCAGUGGCGAAGGCGGCUUACUGGACUGUAACUGACGUUGAGGCUCGAAAGCGUGGGGAGCAAACAGGAUUAGAUACCCUUGUAGUC
RNAcentral lists this ribosomal RNA (440 nucleotides) under uncultured bacterium. RNAcentral's name for it is "partial 16S ribosomal RNA". It matches the Rfam family "Bacterial small subunit ribosomal RNA", at positions 338 to 795 of the family's 1533-position model. The record is from RNAcentral.